CCUACGGGGGGCAGCAGUGGGGAAUAUUGGACAAUGGGGGCAACCCUGAUCCAGCCAUGCCGCGUGUGUGAAGAAGGCCUUCGGGUUGUAAAGCACUUUCAGUGAGGAAGAAGGCCUGCGGGUUAAUAGCCGGCAGGAAGGACAUCACUCACAGAAGAAGCACCGGCUAACUCCGUGCCAGCAGCCGCGGUAAUACGGAGGGUGCGAGCGUUAAUCGGAAUUACUGGGCGUAAAGCGCGCGUAGGUGGCUUGAUAAGCCGGUUGUGAAAGCCCCGGGCUCAACCUGGGAACGGCAUCCGGAACUGUCAGGCUAGAGUGCAGGAGAGGAAGGUAGAAUUCCCGGUGUAGCGGUGAAAUGCGUAGAGAUCGGGAGGAAUACCAGUGGCGAAGGCGGCCUUCUGGACUGACACUGACACUGAGGUGCGAAAGCGUGGGUAGCAAACAGGAUUAGAUACCCCUGUAGUC
This 465-nucleotide ribosomal RNA is filed under the name uncultured bacterium. RNAcentral describes it as "bacterial SSU rRNA". It matches the Rfam family "Bacterial small subunit ribosomal RNA", at positions 338 to 795 of the family's 1533-position model. The record is from RNAcentral.